RNAcentral lists this ribosomal RNA (374 nucleotides) under uncultured bacterium. RNAcentral's name for it is "bacterial SSU rRNA". It matches the Rfam family "Bacterial small subunit ribosomal RNA", at positions 131 to 507 of the family's 1533-position model. The record is from RNAcentral.
UUCAAGCGGGAAUAGCCCAGAGAAAUUUGGAUUAAUACCCAUAAAUAUAAAAUGGCAUCAUUUAUAUAUUAAAGCUUCGGCACUUGAUGAUGGGUGUGCGGCUGAUUAGAUAGUUGGCGAGGUAACGGCUCACCAAGUCUACGAUCAGUAGCUGAUGUGAGAGCAUGAUCAGCCACACGGGCACUGAGACACGGGCCCGACUCCUACGGGAGGCAGCAGUAAGGAAUAUUGGACAAUGGACGAAAGUCUGAUCCAGCCAUGCCGCGUGAAGGAUUAAGGUCCUCUGGAUUGUAAACUUCUUUUAUAUGGGACGAAAAAAGAGAAUUCUUUCUCACUUGACGGUACCAUACGAAUCAGCACCGGCUAACUCCGUG